RNAcentral lists this microRNA (21 nucleotides) under Mus musculus (house mouse). RNAcentral's name for it is "mmu-miR-7052-3p". Lineage: Eukaryota; Metazoa; Chordata; Mammalia; Rodentia; Muridae. The record is from miRBase by way of RNAcentral.
GCUCUGCCCCCUCCUUCCCAG